This 1254-nucleotide long non-coding RNA is filed under the name Bemisia tabaci. RNAcentral describes it as "lncRNA ENSSWEETPG012520". Lineage: Eukaryota; Metazoa; Arthropoda; Insecta; Hemiptera; Aleyrodidae. The record is from RNAcentral.
AAUCGUUGAUUACCGCCGAUUGAUUUGGAAUCUUUGAGUUUUGCGUUAUCCGAACAAUUAUUUCUCUCCUUCUUUGCAGAGGUCUUACGAAAUUCAUGGAGGAAGGAGUGAAUGACGAUCCGGCCUUUAAAGUAAGGAUGAUGAAUUCUGUAUUUUUGUGCACGACUAAAUUGGUGUUGGGACUGGAUGAUACGAACAGUUCUCUUACUUAAAAUCUUACAUUUUGCACGGGUUGAUUUUUUGACACAGUGGAGACGGCGCGCCGCGGCGCACUAUUUUGCGAUAAGGUAAAAAGAAAAAACACUUUUGAGGCUGGAUUUUGAGAUAAUAAACAAUUGACAAGCGCAACAAGCUGAAAAGCGAUUCUAAAAAUUAGUUGACUUUCGUACAACAGAAUAAUACAUACAAAAUUAUUCAUCAUUAAAAAUUAUUUUUCCUAUUGAAUUAGAAUUCUAUGCACGAGCUCAUAUUACACUCAUAUAUCAAACUACGCGAAUGGACCAGCAAGCUAAAUAAGAACUUCAUUGACACAGUACCAGGACUUUUGAAUAACAAAUUUUAAUAUUUCUUUCUCUUCUUUUUCUUUCAGAAAUACACUUUGUGUAUGUUGAAAAAAUAUGCAAGGGUUUAAAAACGGAAAAAAAAAUGGCGAUCAGGAUAUAGAAAACCAGGCGAAGGCAAUGCUUCCACCGCCGUUACGAGACGCCAUUUUAGAUGCCACCUCUCAGUGUAGCAAUACAGGUGGAGAUACACCUGAGGACAUUACGUACAAUUUCAGCAAGUGCAGUCACAAAGCAAAUAUCAAGAGUGUCAUGAUAAUCUGAGACUUCAUGCGGUACCAGACCGAAGGCAACUUAACUCACGCAUCGGUAACUGCUUAAGUUGGUGUUGCCUGGCUUUCAAAAUUUCUCGACUGAAAAUUCAUUUAAAAAAAGCAUUCUUUUAGUAAUUGUAUUGUAAACGUGUAAUUAAAAUAUAAAUGUUUGUUUUCUUACUUUUCUGAAUUGGUAUUAUUUCUACAGAUAAGUUUGGAUGAUUUCAUCAGAAGCAUACCCGCGCGUUGGUAAAGAAGUUUAAAAAUUACAUGUAAAACCCAUUUCUUAAGCAAAUCAAAUUGACUUAUUAUAACAUUGAACUAUUAGCAUAACUGCAGGAAGAAGUUUUUAAUGGAUAUUUUGGCACUGGAAAAAUUCUUGGAGGCCAAACAGGAGUUAUGGUGGAUUGAAUUUUGUGGUCCAAAAAUCAUGUUUGUAU